GUCACACUGGAAGCUCAGUUUAUAAAUUCAGCAAACAUUGAAAACCCAAACGCCAAAGAAAUUUAAAUUGAAGAUUGCGAAUGAUAUUGUUUUUUGUUUUGUAUUUUUCUCCGUAGCUCCAAACGUUACGAUACACGCGAUAGUGCAUUCAAUAAAAAGCUAUUGCCGCUGAGCGAUUGAAAACUAAUUCCAACUAGAAAACGAAUAGUGUGUAUGCAUGUAUGUGUGUGUGUUUUUGUGUCUGCGGGCAAACCGAAGAAGUGACGUUUACAGCAAAAAAAAAGUCGGUCUCGUCAAAAUUUGAAGUGAAAUUAAAUAAAACACGUCGUCGUCGCCGUCGUCAUCGUCAUCGUCCAGCCACUCACAACUCUUCCAUGGCAGUUGGAUGCACGUUUGAUUGAAACGACGACGUCGCUUCGCUCGUCGUCUUUGCUGCAAAUUUCGCCAUCUUCGCUCAGAAUACCAAUAAGAAGAAGAAAAAGAAGAAGCAAUAACGAGCGAACAGAGCUGCGACGAUGAGCUGAGCUGCGCUUAGCUAUGCAUUCACAAAGCUAUCGUUGAGAUCUCACCCCAUAGGGACACAUCGCUGAAGUACACCGUCAGAGAACAAAGCAAGCAACCAACCAGCGAGUCUUCCAAACUAGAACAAACUACGAGCUACGAGUUCAACAAGACAAAGCACAAAGGAUCAACAGAAACAAUAGUGUGUGUAAGUGGCUGCACGAAGCGCGAAGCCCUUGCAGAGCAGGUCAAGCAAUUUGGUAGUGGUUGUCGGGUCAGCAUCGUCAUAUAGAAAUGACACUGACCACAACGGCGACGCCACCGGAGAGCAACAAGAAAAUGGAAGUGAAGGCAUUGACAGGCGAAGAGAAUCUGCCCACAUCUGAAAUGGAUCUGCUGGCCAAGCUGGAGGCCGCCAAUAAGCUAAUUGAAAGCGAUGCCAAAAGCCUCAAUUCGCUGCACUCAACGCACAGUCGCAAAAACUCGGACACGAGCCAAAUAAGCCUUACUUCAAGCGGCAAUUCGGUUGCCGAGGAAGACAUCUGGACCACGUGGGCAUCCAUACUGAACGACUGGGAGGGCGCGCUGAAGCGUAAAAAUCCCUGCGUGCGGGAGCUGGUGCGUCGCGGCAUACCGCAUCAUUUUCGCGCAAUCGUGUGGCAACAACUUAGCGGCGCCGCCGAUGCCGAUAAAAAGCAAUAUGCUGAAUAUAUUAAGGCAACGUCUGCUUGCGAGAAAGUUAUUCGGCGCGAUAUAGCACGCACCUAUCCGGAGGUUGAUUUCUUCAAGGAGAAGGACGGGCCCGGCCAGGAGGCGCUGUUCAAUGUGAUCAAAGCGUAUUCGCUGCACGAUCGUGAGGUGGGCUACUGUCAGGGCUCUGGCUUCAUUGUCGGCCUGUUGCUCAUGCAGAUGCCCGAAGAGGAGGCGUUUGCCGUUCUCGUACAGAUCAUGCAACAGCAUCGCAUGCGGCACAUGUUCAAGCCAUCGAUGUCUGAGCUGGGCCUGUGCAUGUACCAGCUGGAGAAUCUGGUACAGGAGCAAAUACCCGACAUGCACUUACAUUUCCAGCAGCAAGGCUUCCAGACGACCAUGUAUGCGUCUAGCUGGUUUCUGACGCUCUAUACGACCACACUGAAUGUGAAUCUCAGCUGCCGCAUUAUGGAUGUCUUCCUUAGCGAGGGCAUGGAAUUCAUUUUUAAGGUGGCACUGGCUCUGCUCUUGACGGGCAAGGAAUCGCUGCUGUCCCUUGACAUGGAGGCCAUGCUCAAGUUCUUUCAAAAGGAGCUGCCCGGUCGCGUCGAGGCCGAUCCAGAGGGUUUCUUUAAUUUGGCCUAUGCGCAGAAACUCAAUACGAAGCGAAUGAAGAAAAUGGAGAAAGAGUAUCAAGACUUGAAGAAAAAGGAACAGGAGGAGAUGGUCGAGCUGCGACGGCUGCGGCGCGAGAAUUGUCUCUUAAAGCAGCGCAACGAGCUGCUCGAGGCUGAAAGCGCCGCCCUGGCCGAUCGUCUGGUGCGUGGCCAAGUCUCGCGUGCCGAGGAGGAGGAGACCAGCUAUGCCAUUCAAACGGAGCUAAUGCAGCUGCGACACUCCUAUCUGGAGGUGUCACACCAACUGGAGAAUGCCAACGAGGAGGUGCGCGGUCUCAGUCUGCGGCUACAGGAAAAUAACGUUUCAAUCGAUAGCAAUAAUUCGCGUCAGUCGUCUAUCGACGAGCUGUGCAUGAAGGAGGAGGCACUGAAGCAGCGCGACGAGAUGGUCUCCUGUUUGCUAGAGGAGCUGGUCAAGGUGCGUCAGGGCUCAGCCGAAAGCGAGGAUCAGAUACGAAAUCUGAAGUCGAAAAUCGAAGAGCUCGAAGAGGAUAAAAAGACACUGCGCGAAACCACGCCCGACAAUUCGGUGGCCCAUUUGCAGGACGAGCUGAUUGCUAGCAAGCUGCGUGAGGCGGAGGCCACGCUCUCCCUCAAGGAUCUCAAGCAGCGCGUGCAGGAGCUGAGCACCCAGUGGCAGCGCCAAUUGGCCGAAAAUCAGCGCAACGAGCAUAGCGCUGCCUCCGUUGAUUCCACACCCAAAAAGUUGUUAACAAAUUUCUUUGAUAACUCAAAAUCGACGGAGCACACACAGAAACUCGAGGAGGAGCUAAUGACGACACGCAUACGUGAAAUGGAAACGCUAACCGAACUGAAGGAGCUGCGUCUCAAAGUCAUGGAGCUGGAGACACAAGUGCAGGUCUCCACGAAUCAGCUACGACGGCAGGACGAGGAGCACAAGAAGCUCAAGGAAGAGCUCGAACUGGCCGUCACACGCGAAAAGGAGCUGGCCAACAAGGCGCGUGAACAGCAGCACAGGUAUUCGGAUCUGGAGUCUCGUAUGAAGGAUGAACUUAUGAAUGUCAAAAUCAAGUUCACCGAACAGAGCCAAACAGUUGCCGAACUGAAGCAGGAGAUUUCUCGAUUGGAGACAAAGAAUUCGGAAAUGCUUGCCGAGGGCGAGCUGCGCGCUAAUCUGGAUGACUCGGAUAAAGUGCGUGACCUGCAGGACAGGUUGGCUGACAUGAAGGCGGAGUAUCCCACGCCAAUAACCAGCCCCGAUACUGAACCGUGGAAAUGGAUAAGCUAAGCUAAUCGAAAACAGAAAGCUAAAAUCAAACCAAAACUAAGCAAAUUCAUCAACAUCAUUAACAAAUGCCAUCUACCUUAAAUCCCAGUUAAAACGAAAAGCAAAACAAAAAGUAAAACCAAGAUCAAAUUCAACAUUUAACAGCAAAACGACCAAAAGCAAAUCAGCUGACGGCGCUAAAAAGUCGCGGCAAAUUUCCGGCCAACAAGCUGCGCAGCGCCUCCAUUC
This 3345-nucleotide unclassified non-coding RNA is filed under the name Drosophila virilis. RNAcentral's name for it is "GJ15325". The record is from RNAcentral. Lineage: Eukaryota; Metazoa; Arthropoda; Insecta; Diptera; Drosophilidae.